AGUCGGCGUGCCUUGCAGCUGUUGGCUUGACCCCAGGCCGGGACGGGCAGAGCGGAACACUGCCCGGCGGGUCCAGGCCGACCGUGCCUGUGGCUCUCCGGAACAAUAAACCCCCGGCCCCAGUGAUGUGGGCCAGACCGGACCUGGAGAGGCGGCACCGCGACCCCUCCCGCAACCCGCCUGGCGGCCGGGGGCAGCGUGACCCGGCCCGCUACCGUGUCACAGCUGGCGACUGACAAACAGCAGGCGACGUCGGGAGAACUCCCCGAGACACCCGAGACAUCAGCCUUCUCGCUCCGCGGCCCUGCAGGACCUGCCCGCCGGGAGCCCCGGAGUCCGCGGCAGCGCCGAGGGCCCCUCCCCCAGGCCUCUGGGCUCUGAGGUAACGCGGCCGCGGCUGCUCCCGGGCCCCUCGUCCCACUCGCCCCUCUCUUUUUUAUUUUUCCUCGCCCUCUCUCUCCCUUGCCCGUUCAUCUCGACCCUUUAGCAAGCAUGGAAGCCCAGCGAGGCGGGGGAUUGCUCGGAGGCCGAGCUCCCGGCAGCCUCCUCCGCCUUCCUUCCCGCUGUGCCCUCGGGGCUCCUACCUCCACCUCGGCGCGGCGCUCUGCCCCCACCCGAAGUCUCCAAGGCGGCAGCUCCCCUCUCCUGUGUGGUUCUUGGGGCCUUAGAGGCAAUGUCAUGAAAAAAAGGGUAUUAAUCACUUUCCUACAGAAAUGAUAAGAUGAGACUAAGUAGAAUAACUUGAAAGAGCUACGAGUUGUUAUUUUUGGAAGGAGAGAUAGGAACGCGUAAAUCCAAUAGCUAAACUUUCUAGACGCUGAAGAGUUUUUGGCGAUAGAUCAUUUUGACAUUGGGGGUUCAUAGGGUUAGCGUUUUUUGUGUUGUUGUUGCUGUUGUUUUUCCACUAGAAUUUUGAAUCGGAUUUUACCAGCAAUUGGUAACGGAAAGGAAAGGAUGUGUCUUCCAAUUGAGAAACAGUGGUUAAAAACUGAAAGUGGGCCGGGCGCGGUGGUUCACGCCUGUAAUCCCAGCACUUUAGGAGGCCGAGGCGGG
RNAcentral lists this long non-coding RNA (1053 nucleotides) under Homo sapiens (human). Its description in RNAcentral is "non-protein coding lnc-KLHL18-8:4". Lineage: Eukaryota; Metazoa; Chordata; Mammalia; Primates; Hominidae. The record is from RNAcentral.